Molecule: non-coding RNA, 1591 nt
Organism: Lolium perenne
Lineage: Eukaryota; Viridiplantae; Streptophyta; Magnoliopsida; Poales; Poaceae
Source: RefSeq, a predicted model, not a curated record
GCUCCCACCUGCUCCCCAUCUCUUCCCCCCUCCUUAAAGCCGCCUCCAGCGCCCUGCAAAACCCUAGCCUCUCUCCCCUUCCUCCGCCGCCACCCUGGUUCCUUUCUCCUCCUCUUCCUGUACAUUCACGUGAAGGAGCUGAGAACACCCCCAAGUCCCCGCCAUGGCGUUGCCGCUACCGACCACCCCUCGUCGAGCCGAGACCACCAACAGACGCGGCUCGUCGUCCCCGUCAACCGCCUCCAAGGAAUCGAACCGAAACCUCUCCAAUCGCCCGCAAAAUCGCCGAUUCCUCUCUCCGUCGGUCGAACUCCGGCGACGUUUUCGGUCGCCUCUGUCCUUCCCCGGCCUCCUAGUCUGCGCCAUGAGCUUCAGGGAGCUCGACCCCGGCGAUGCUCCGGUGAGCCCCUGGACUCCGCACCGCCACCAACAGGUUCACCGCGGCAAGGCGCUUCCCCGACACCGUCUUACCCAUCCUGGUUCGCCCGGAACCUCCAUAUUCGUGCUCAACCAGAGUUGUUUUCCGCCAUGACCUUCAUCCUCCUGCUCCGUGUGUGCUGCUUCAUGUUGCCGUGCGCCUGAUACUGUUCAUCGAUCCACAUCUAGCUUAACUGAUCCACACGCAGAUGGGCCUGGCCCCAGAUCCGCCUGGCACAGCCCAACGGCCCGCUCGAACCUACCUUCCCUUGUCGGCCAGCAUUUGCUUCUUCCCGGAUAGGAUCACGAAGUGGUGUGGUGAGAUACGACAAGUUCUCCGGAUGUUCCUCAACGAGCUUUAACAGGCAAGCAUUUCCCCUAUACUCCUGUCCCUGCAGGAGUCGCUCACCUAUUUUAUUUUGCCUUCUCCCUCAUGCUAUCCUUAAGUUGCGUUCUUGUCACGUGUCCUUUCCACUUGUUACCUUAAGCAGCCCAUAUUGCCACCAUCACCUCCCACGGCUAUUGUUUGGUUAUCGAGUCUGCCCUUGCGAGUCGUAGUGCAUGCUAGUGCUGUUUUAUCUCGUUACCGUUAUUGUUAUCUUAUCGGGUUAUAUGUUGGGAAGAAUCAUGGUUACUUUAGUUGUUGACAUUUGUUUAGCGGAGGCAUCGGUGGGUCAGCUGCUCGUUUUAUGACGGCUCACUUGUGUUUCAUAAAUAUCUUAGGACCCCGAGUACUUGUUAUCUGUUCCGAGACUGAGCGCUCUAACCACACGUGGGUAUGCUUACCGGGUCUCCCCUCGACCACUGCCGGAAUCUACAGUUUUGUCCAGUGGCCACAACUAGUUUGGAUGUUUGUUUUGUUUCUCUCGGGCGUGCAAGCAUGUUUCUUUGUGGUCAGAUGAUAUGAUGUUACUUUUGGGGAAGCCGUGAGUGCCUUGUAUCCCCGUUUUCUCUUGCACGUCCGUAGGUGCGGCACGUAUUGUUAAGAGGUCAUCCUCUAGUGGGCUCUGAUCCUCUUAGCCGUUCUCGCAAUAGCUAGGUCCGCGUCGGAGUUUCGAUCGGGCUCCGAAACGGGUUAACUUAGUUAGGUGGCUUCCUGGAUAUUGUUGUAGUGAAGGAGAGUGCGUGUCGUGAUAUCCACCUGUCGUAAGUGGGUUGAGCGUGCGUGUGGGCA